Long non-coding RNA from Esox lucius (northern pike), 586 nucleotides. NCBI's taxonomy places the organism in Eukaryota, Metazoa, Chordata, Actinopteri, Esociformes, Esocidae. The record is from Ensembl.
GUAAGGAAAUGUAUUACUAAGUUUUAGUGACCAGUAAAAAAAACUGUAACCUUUCUUCAAAUAUGAACACAGGUUUUAAGUAAAAUGAUUAAUAACAGAUUUUAACACAUUUAUCACUUGUUAGUCAUAAAAAAAUGAGUAAUGAGUAAGAAAAGAAAUAACGCAGUGACAUAAGCCCAACGUAUGACGUAUGAUGAAGACGUGCCUUUUUUGUGGGAAGUCCCUUUUUGUAUCUGCACAAAAUAAAAACAUGGGGAACAGCGGUUUGUGUGCCAAAAAGACUAAUGAGGACCAUCCAGGGGCCACUCCCUCUAAUGUUGAGAAUCGGGACCCUAACCAACUAUUGAUGAUGUCAAAACAACAUGGAUUUGACUGUGCCUGAAAAGAACAGUACUUGCUAAGCUGUGGAAUUAGAAUACUACUACUCAGUAGUCAAAAAACAUCAAUAGACCUGGAAGAAGAGAACAAAGGAAAAAAUUGCUGCUAUUUUUGCUGCUAACGUGUCUGCUAUUGUGUUUAGCAAAUAGCUGAAAAAUUAUGAAAGAAUGUUGUUGUUACACUCAAAAAAUAAACACAUAUAUUAAGC